Molecule: microRNA precursor, 130 nt
Filed under: Arabidopsis lyrata
Lineage: Eukaryota; Viridiplantae; Streptophyta; Magnoliopsida; Brassicales; Brassicaceae
Description: miR158b stem-loop (aly-MIR158b)
Gene: aly-MIR158b
Rfam family: MIR158 microRNA precursor family (bases 15-115)
Source: miRBase by way of RNAcentral
UCAGAAGAAUAGUAACUCGUCAUCUCUGUGCCUCUUUGUCUACAAUUUUGGAAAAAGUAGUGUCGCCAUUGUUUUUUUCCCAAAUGUAGACAAAGCGAUACCGUGAUGACGUUAUAGAGAUUUUGUUUGA